UACGGAGGAUGCGAGCGUUAUCCGGAUUUAUUGGGUGUAAAGGGUGCGUAGACGGGAAAUUAAGUUAGUUGUGAAAUCCCUCGGCUUAACUGAGGAACUGCAACUAAAACUGGUUUUCUUGAGUACUGGAGAGGAAAGUGGAAUUCCUAGUGUAGCGGUGAAAUGCGUAGAUAUUAGGAGGAACACCAGUGGCGAAGGCGACUUUCUGGACAGUAACUGACGUUGAGGCACGAAAGUGUGGGGAGCAAACA
Molecule: ribosomal RNA, 251 nt
Filed under: uncultured bacterium
Lineage: Bacteria
Description: partial 16S ribosomal RNA
Rfam family: Bacterial small subunit ribosomal RNA
Source: RNAcentral